Molecule: long non-coding RNA, 3533 nt
Filed under: Theobroma cacao (cacao)
Lineage: Eukaryota; Viridiplantae; Streptophyta; Magnoliopsida; Malvales; Malvaceae
Description: long non-coding RNA (TCAC_LNC000399)
Source: RNAcentral
UACACUCCUUUACCUUAUGCCCCAAAAGACCUACUAAUCAAGUUGUUCGCCCAAAUCGCGACGACUCUUGCCUCCUUUGCGUGACCAAGGGUCCAUCACCACUAGUCCACCACCGUGACAAUCGACAGCAUUCAAAAACCACCAGGCCGCACCAAUGUUAGCGGCGACAUCUAGGGUGGUUGGGAGGUCAAAUUUGGUUGUUGGCUGGACUAGUCAUUCAUCUGCAAGAAAAGGAGGCAGAAAAAAAAUAUGAGAGAUGCAAUGAAACUUGGAAAAUGAAAGGGAGAGGCCAAAGCUUGACAGGCUUCCAAAAUGGGCUCUUUAUUUUCCUUUUUGUUGCUCUAAUUUUUUAGAGGUUCAGAUAAGGGCUAUAAAUAUACGGUAAUUUGAAUUUCCAAUUUUUUUUGUAUUUCAAUAUUUUAUGCUUUGGAUUUUAGUGUUGUUUUGAUUAUUUAAGAACCGUAAUUUUUAUCAACAAGAUUUUUCUUCUUUUGUUAUUUAUAUCACUUUUUGUUUGCUUAUUUACUAAAAUUAUUUUAUUAUAUUGUUAUAGUUAAACCAAUCAAAUCAAUCGAAUCAAAGAUUAUAUUAAGUGAUUAAAGUUUAUAUGGUUUUAAUUGAGUAAUUUGGUCAGUUCAAUUACUUUUUAAAAAUAUAUAUAUUUUAAUUUUUUCACCAAAUUGAGCGACUGCCUUCAUCUAAUUGUUAGUUGUGUGAGAUUAUUAGAUAAUUUAGUUUAUUAUCUGUGCAUGAAUAUCAAUAUAUUAUUGAGAUAGAGAAAUUGACUUAAUUAGAUUUUGUUUAGAUGAUAAUUUUGCUUUUUGUUUUGUAAGAACUAAAUUAUAUAAGAAUAGUUAGAAAUAAAAAAUGUAGUCUAAAAUAGUAAAAAAAUAUUAAAAAGUAAAUAAUGAAAGUAUGAAUAAUACAAAGCUCAAGACAGUAGAAAUGUCUUUGAACGGAAUCCCUUCAUUAAUUACAAUUCACAAGCCGUAAGGCAUGCCAUUAGUCAUUUGAUGAACUGUGUUGACAGUUAAAGGUUUAGGCAUGUCUCAUUCUAUUUUGUGGUGGGAUAUAACCGGUGCAUGAACCCAGACAGAUGUAGCUCACUAAGUUCAAGCAAACCUUCUUAUAUUCAUUCAUCAUAACUUGUCCCAUUAACCAUAAUCAUCAUAAAUAAAGCAUACAAUAUCAAACUCAUGUAUGCAUCCAUAGGCAACUAUACACAAUUAUAAAACUUCUCAACAUAAACUGUGCAAGUGCAUUCAUUCAUAAUAAACUCAGAGUUAACAACUCAUACAUCAUGCCAUAAUCAUUUCCCAACACCCUCGGGUGUACAUUCAUCCAUAACAUUCAUAAGUAUAUGCCAAGCAUUGGCUACAUCAUAUAAACAUGUUCAAUAUCUAUAAACAUAAACAUAUCCAUAAACAUAAAAACCAAUUCGUUAGCGGAACAUGACCUAACUCUCUAGACAUCAAAUGGACUGUUAGACACCUACCAUAAAAAGAUGAAUGGAUCACAUCUCCUAGACUUCAGAGUUGAAUGCUAUCACUUAUUUGCAAACAAAAAUAUUUGAGAAAAAUAACGUGUGAGUCAUAAAUACUCCAUGAGUGAAUACGAGAAUGGGACAAGCCAAGGCAAGGAUUUUUUGCACAAAUUACAUUACUAAUGUAAACAUGAAUUUUAGAUAAAUAUACUUCAUUUCAAAUAUCUCAUAAAAUAGAGUUGUUAUACACGAGUCUCAUUUUCAAAGUGGAAUUGACAUUUCAUAAACAUAUUGUUCGAUAGAUAAGCCUUGUAGGAAAAUAAGGAAGUUGUACUUUACUUGUGGUAUUGGAUCCUCCUUAAGGGAAACGAUACUUAACCAUAUAUUCCAAGCUAAAGGUGAUUUACUCCAAUCUUUUCAUAAAUCAUAUGAGCUGCUCAUGUACUAAAGAUUCACCAAGAGAAACCAAUCAUAACAUUUAGUGAUCAAUGUCGAACCCAUAUAACUAAAGUAAUCAUUUUUCAAUUCAUAUAACUCAGUGAUCAAAUCAAUCCAUGAAACUCAAGUGACCAUCCUUUCUUUAUAAUCUAUAAACUUAACUAAUGCCUUGGGAUUUAUUUUAUCUAUCAACCCAUCUUGGCUAUCGUAUAGCUUAGAGUUUAAUUUACAACUCAAUCAAACAUCAUAAACACAAGAAAGAUUCACAAGAGGCAUCAUAAUAACAAAAAUUAAUGUGCAAUAAUCAUGAAUUCAAGAUGCCUACUGGUUUGGGCAUCCUACGUCUAAGCUCAUGAGUGGUACAUUAGCCUCACUUAUGUGGAGCGUGUGACCAUGUAGUGGAAUUUUUGCCUCACCAUGCCUAGGGAUUGCUUAACUCAUAUCACUAUGCAUUGGCACUACUUGUGGAAUGUUACCUCACACUGUGUGGAAUCAUUAGAAAAUUAUCAAAGCAUUGCAGGUGGGAAUCAUAAGCAGGACUUUUAGACCAUCCCUAUUUACCACCAUCUCUACAAGCUCAACUCAAUGUCUUAAUCAUAAUAUAGAAUUUUGCAUAUUCAUACAUACAUCAUCAACAUAUCAAGCACAUCUUUUUCUAUAAACCAUAUUUAUGAACAAUCUUAUCUCUAAAGGUAUAUAGCACUACAUCACAUAUUAACCUAUAGAAUCAUGUCACACAUGUUCUAGUAUUCCUCAAAUGAAAACAUAUCAUAAGCUUAAGGGUGGGAAUGUCUACCUCCAACCAAGCAUUCAUUUCUUAUGCUUUUUUGUAGCAAUAAUGUAGGUAGUAAUUUUGUCAUGACCCGGUAAUUCCCUCUAGCCCGUGACAACGGCCGCGAUGUCUCGAUCGACACUUAUUACCCGGAAUGUCAACCGAAACCCCGCAAGGCUUUAAUAUCAGUUUUCGCACCUCCCUAGUGAACAAUAGGUGUUAAGUAUCAUGUUUUGAGAGAUUAUAAACUAUUUCCAAAUCAAAACAAUAGAAAAAUAAUUUUUUUCUCACAUGGGCAUUUUCGUUAUUUUUUCUCAAAAGUCUCGAAACCAUCUAAAAAUGCAGUAUGCGAGUAUAAAACACAUAAUUCAUAAUAAAAAAUAAGUUCAGAUAUCUAAAAUAUUCAUUUAAAGUGAAAUUAUAAUUAUUUGAAUAUAAUAUAAAUAUUCAAUAAAAUAUUUUAUUUUCUUAUAAAACAAUAUUUAUAGUUACCGGUAAAUAAUUUUUGUAGCGUAAAAGUCAAAUAGAUUCAUACAUACUGUAAUACAGAUAACCAAAGUAUAAAAUUUAAUUUACAAUGACACGUGAGCUCACGAACGACCAAAAGUAUCAAAAGCGGUAAACCUACAGUUUUUGAGGAUGCAAGUCCAACUGUAGCCCUCAACAAAGUGAGCUAUCUACCGACUAUUCUGAGCUUGAAAGAGGUGAAAAGGAGGGUGGUGAGAUUAUUUAAUCUCAGUGAAUAAACAAAUACCAUCUAAAAUAUCUAAAACUGAGUAAAUGGAGACAGAUAAAAUAGUUUAACAUACUAUAAUUCAUCACCUUUCAACUCAUUUCAAC